AGAGUUUGAUCCUGGCUCAGGACGAACGCUGGCGGCGUGCUUAAAACAUGCAAGUCGAACGAACACUUCGGUGUUAGUGGCAAACGGCUGAGUAACGCGUGGGUGACCUGCCUGGAAGUGGGGAAUAACUGCCCGAAAGGGUGGCUAAUACCGCAUGUGAUGGAUGUUCCAUUACAUCCAUGAAAGUCUUCGGAUGCUUCGAGAGGGGCCCGCGGUACAUUAGCUAGUUGGUGAGGUAACGGCUCACCAAGGCGACGAUGUAUAGCUGGUCUGAGAGGAUGAUCAGCCACACUGGGACUGAGACACGGCCCAGACUCCUACGGGAGGCAGCAGUCGGGAAUCUUGCGCAAUGGGCGAAAGCCUGACGCAGCAACACCGUGUGAGCGACGAAGGCCUUCGGGUCGUAAAGCUCUGUUGUUGGGGACGAAGGGUUAGGGGUUAAUAGCCCCGAGCCUGACGGUACCCUUCGAGGAAGCCCCGGCUAACUACGUGCCAGCAGCCGCGGUAAUACGUAGGGGGCGAGCGUUGUCCGGAAUUAUUGGGCGUAAAGAGCGUGUAGGCGGUUCGGUAAGUCUGCCGUGAAAACCCAGGGCUCAACCCUGGGCGUGCGGUGGAUACUGCCGGGCUAGAGGGUGGUAGAGGCGAGUGGAAUUCCCGGUGUAGCGGUGAAAUGCGCAGAUAUCGGGAGGAACACCAGUAGCGAAGGCGGCUCGCUGGGCCACACCUGACGCUGAGACGCGAAAGCGUGGGGAGCAAACAGGAUUAGAUACCCCAGUAGUCC
Molecule: ribosomal RNA, 781 nt
Filed under: uncultured Rubrobacter sp.
Lineage: Bacteria; Bacillati; Actinomycetota; Rubrobacteria; Rubrobacterales; Rubrobacteraceae
Description: bacterial SSU rRNA
Rfam family: Bacterial small subunit ribosomal RNA
Source: RNAcentral